UUAAAUUGAAGAGUUUGAUCAUGGCUCAGAUUGAACGCUGGCGGCAGGCCUAACACAUGCAAGUCGAACGGUAACAGGAAGCAGCUUGCUGCUUCGCUGACGAGUGGCGGACGGGUGAGUAAUGUCUGGGAAACUGCCUGAUGGAGGGGGAUAACUACUGGAAACGGUAGCUAAUACCGCAUAACGUCGCAAGACCAAAGAGGGGGACCUUCGGGCCUCUUG
This 222-nucleotide ribosomal RNA is filed under the name Enterobacter cloacae. RNAcentral describes it as "partial 16S ribosomal RNA". It matches the Rfam family "Bacterial small subunit ribosomal RNA", at positions 1 to 217 of the family's 1533-position model. The record is from RNAcentral. RNAcentral also lists the same sequence under 1 other name. Lineage: Bacteria; Pseudomonadati; Pseudomonadota; Gammaproteobacteria; Enterobacterales; Enterobacteriaceae.